GAUCUUACUCCGGGAGUCAGACAGUGAGCGAUAAGGUCCAUUGUCGAAAGGGGAACAGCCCAGAUCACCAGUUAAGGUCCCUAAAUUUAUGCUAAGUGGAAAAGGAUGUGGCGUUGCACAGACAACUAGGAUGUUGGCUCAGAAGCAGCCACCAUUUAAAGAGUGCGUAAUAGCUCACUAGUCGAGUGGCACUGCGCCGAAAAUAUACCGGGGCUAAGCAUAAUACCGAAACUGUGGGUGCACCCGUAAGGGUGCGCGGUAGGAGAGCGUUCUAAGGGCGUUGAAGGUCGAUCGUGAGGACGGCUGGAGCGCUUAGAAGUGAGAAUGCCGGCAUGAGUAGCGAAAGAUCAGUGAGAAUCUGAUCCACCGUAUGACUAAGGUUUCCUGGGGAAGGCUCGUCCUCCCAGGGUUAGUCGGGAUCUAAGGCGAGGCCGAGAGGCGUAGUCGAUGACAAGCAGGUUGAGAUUCCUGCACUAGUUUAUUUUGUUUAAGCGAUGGAGGGACGCAGGAGGCUAAGGAAAGCGCACGGCUGGAAAUGUGCGCCCAAGCAGCAAGUCUGACAGCGAGUGAAAUGCUUGCAGUCUUAAGGACAAGCUGUGAUGGGGAGCGAAAUUAUAGUAGCGAAGUUCCUGAUGUCACACUGCCAAGAAAAGCUUCUAGUGAGAAAUAAACUACCCGUACCGCAAACCGACACAGGUAGUCGAGGAGAGUAUCCUCAGGUGAGCGAGCGAACUCUCGUUAAGGAACUCGGCAAAAUGACCCCGUAACUUCGGAAGAAGGGGUGCUGACCGCAAGGUCAGCCGCAGUGAAUAGGCCCAAACAACUGUUUAUCAAAAACACAGGUCUCUGCUAAAUCGUAAGAUGAUGUAUAGGGGCUGACGCCUGCCCGGUGCUGGAAGGUUAAGAGGAUGAGUUAGCGCAAGCGAAGCCCAGAAUUGAAGCCCCAGUAAACGGCGGCCGUAACUAUAACGGUCCUAAGGUAGCGAAAUUCCUUGUCGGGUAAGUUCCGACCCGCACGAAAGGCGUAAUGAUUUGGGCACUGUCUCAACGAGAGACUCGGUGAAAUUAUAGUACCCGUGAAGAUGCGGGUUACCCGCGACAGGACGGAAAGACCCCAUGGAGCUUUACUGUAGCUUGAUAUUGAGUGUUUGUACCGCUUGUACAGGAUAGGUAGGAGCCGUAGAGAUCGGAACGCUAGUUUCGAUGGAGGCGUUGGUGGGAUACUACCCUAGCUGUAUGAACACUCUAACCCGCGCCACUAAUCGUGGCGGGAGACAGUGUCAGGUAGGCAGUUUGACUGGGGCGGUCGCCUCCUAAAAUGUAACGGAGGCGCCCAAAGGUUCCCUCAGAAUGGUUGGAAAUCAUUCGCAGAGUGUAAAGGUAUAAGGGAGCUUGACUGCGAGACUGACAAGUCGAGCAGGGACGAAAGUCGGGCUUAGUGAUCCGGUGGUUCCGUAUGGAAGGGCCAUCGCUCAACGGAUAAAAGCUACCCUGGGGAUAACAGGCUUAUCUCCCCCAAGAGUCCACAUCGACGGGGAGGUUUGGCACCUCGAUGUCGGCUCAUCGCAUCCUGGGGCUGUAGUCGGUCCCAAGGGUUGGGCUGUUCGCCCAUUAAAGCGGUACGCGAGCUGGGUUCAGAACGUCGUGAGACAGUUCGGUCCCUAUCCGUCGCGGGCGCAGGAAAUUUGAGAGGAGCUGUCCUUAGUACGAGAGGACCGGGAUGGACGUUCCGCUGGUGUACCAGUUGUGCCGCCAGGCGCAUCGCUGGGUAGCUAUGAACGGCAGGGAUAAACGCUGAAAGCAUCUAAGUGUGAAGCCCCCCUCGAGAUGAGAUUUCCCAUUCCUAUAUGGAAGUAAGACCCCUGAGAGAUGAUCAGGUAGAUAGGCUGGAAGUGGAA
Molecule: ribosomal RNA, 1898 nt
Filed under: Lacticaseibacillus paracasei
Lineage: Bacteria; Bacillati; Bacillota; Bacilli; Lactobacillales; Lactobacillaceae
Description: partial 23S ribosomal RNA
Rfam family: Bacterial large subunit ribosomal RNA
Source: RNAcentral